This 289-nucleotide ribosomal RNA is filed under the name uncultured Comamonadaceae bacterium. RNAcentral's name for it is "partial 16S ribosomal RNA". It matches the Rfam family "Bacterial small subunit ribosomal RNA", at positions 508 to 796 of the family's 1533-position model. Lineage: Bacteria; Pseudomonadati; Pseudomonadota; Betaproteobacteria; Burkholderiales; Comamonadaceae. The record is from RNAcentral.
UCAGCCGCCGCGGUAAUACGUAGGGUGCAAGCGUUAAUCGGAAUUACUGGGCGUAAAGCGUGCGCAGGCGGUUAUAUAAGACAGAUGUGAAAUCCCCGGGCUCAACCUGGGACCUGCAUUUGUGACUGUAUAGCUAGAGUACGGUAGAGGGGGAUGGAAUUCCGCGUGUAGCAGUGAAAUGCGUAGAUAUGCGGAGGAACACCGAUGGCGAAGGCAAUCCCCUGGACCUGUACUGACGCUCAUGCACGAAAGCGUGGGGAGCAAACAGGAUUAGAAACCCUAGUAGUCC